Long non-coding RNA from Octopus sinensis (East Asian common octopus), 81 nucleotides. RefSeq lists it as uncharacterized. NCBI's taxonomy places the organism in Eukaryota, Metazoa, Mollusca, Cephalopoda, Octopoda, Octopodidae. The record is from RefSeq and is a predicted model, not a curated record. The transcript is spliced from 3 exons.
GUUCUGAGGUGUUUCUGGAUUAAAGGGUAUCGUGAAGGACCUGGUUGGAGGCCCAACCUUCUGAGAUCUAUAACAGGGCUU